Molecule: ribosomal RNA, 2849 nt
Filed under: Clostridioides difficile
Lineage: Bacteria; Bacillati; Bacillota; Clostridia; Peptostreptococcales; Peptostreptococcaceae
Description: partial 23S ribosomal RNA
Rfam family: Bacterial large subunit ribosomal RNA
Source: RNAcentral
UGGUCAAGUUAUUAAGGGUGCAGGGCGGAUGCCUUGGCACUAGGAGCCGAUGAAGGACGUGAUAAGCUGCGAUAAGCUUCGGGGAGUUGCACGUAAACUUUGAUCCGAAGAUUUCCGAAUGAGGAAACUCACUUAGAGUAAUGUCUAAGUAUCAUUAAGUGAAUACAUAGCUUAAUGAGGGGAACUCAGGGAACUGAAACAUCUAAGUACCUGAAGGAAGAGAAAGAAAUUCGAUUCCGUAAGUAGCGGCGAGCGAACGCGGAUUAGCCCAAACCAAUAAAGUUUUCUUUAUUGGGGUUGCGGACAUAUCAUAACGAAGAGGUAUCGUAAUUGAAGAGGUUUGGAAAGACCCACCACAGAAGGUAAUAGUCCUGUAUGUUAAACGAGAAGACUUUAGAUAUGAUCCAGAGUACCACGGGACACGUGAAACCCUGUGGGAAGCAGGAGGGACCACCCUCCAAGGCUAAAUACUACCUAGUGACCGAUAGCGUAUAGUACCGUGAGGGAAAGGUGAAAAGAACCCCGGGAGGGGAGUGAAAUAGAACCUGAAACCCUGCACUUACAAGCUGUGGAAGCACAUUUCUUGUGUGACCGCGUACUUUUUGUAGAACGGGCCAACGAGUUACGUUAAGUAGCAAGGUUAAGCACUUAAGGUGCGGAGCCGUAGCGAAAGCGAGUUUUAACUGAGCGUUCAGUUACUUGACGUAGACCCGAAACCGGGCGACCUACCCAUGAGCAGGAUGAAGCGAAAGUAAAAUUUCGUGGAGGUCCGAACCCACGAGCGUUGAAAAGCUCGGGGAUGACUUGUGGGUAGCGGUGAAAUUCCAAUCGAGCCCGGAGAUAGCUGGUUCUCCCCGAAAUAGCUUUAGGGCUAGCCUCAAGGUGAGAGAUACGGAGGUAGAGCACUGAAUGUCCUAGGGGGUAUUGCACCUACCGAAGACUAUCAAACUCCGAAUGCCGUCAUCUUAUACUUGGGAGUCAGACUGUGGGUGAUAAGAUUCAUAGUCGAAAGGGCAACAGCCCAGAUCGUCAGCUAAGGUCCCUAAAUGUAAGUUAAGUGGUAAAGGAUGUGGGAUUGCACAGACAACCAGGAUGUUGGCUUAGAAGCAGCCACUCAUUCAAAGAGUGCGUAAUAGCUCACUGGUCGAGUGAUCCUGCGCCGAAGAUUUCCGGGGCUAAAACUUACUACCGAAGCUACGGCAUCAGUAAUGAUGGGUAGGGGAGCUUCCCAUACGGGUUGAAGCAUGACCGUAAGGACAUGUGGACAGUAUGGGAGUGAGAAUGUUGGCAUGAGUAGCGAGAUGUGGGUGAGAAUCCCACAGGCCGUAAACCCAAGGUUUCCAGGGGAAGGUUCGUCCGCCCUGGGUUAGUCGGGACCUAAGCUGAGGCCGAAAGGCGUAGGUGAUGGACAACAGGUUGAUAUUCCUGUACUACCGAUAACCGUUUGAGAGAAGGGAUGACACAGUAGGAUAAGCUAAGCACACUGUUGGUUAUGUGUGCCCAAGCAUUGAGGCAGUCAAAGUAGGCAAAUCCGCUUUGAUAAUGCUGGGAUGUGAUGGGGAGCGAAAUUUAGUAGCGAAGUAGCUGAUUUCACACUGUCAAGAAAAGUCUCUAUCGAGGUUAAAGGUACCCGUACCGCAAACCGACACAGGUGGGUGAGGAGAGUAUCCUAAGGCCAGCGAGAGAACUGUUGUUAAGGAACUCGGCAAAAUGACCCCGUAACUUAGGGAUAAGGGGUGCCACCAUCAGGUGGCCGCAGAGAAUAGGCCCAAGCGACUGUUUACCAAAAACAUAGGUUUCUGCUAAGUCGCAAGACGAUGUAUAGGAGCUGACGCCUGCCCGGUGCUGGAAGGUUAAGGGGAUCUGUUAGAGCAAUCGAAGCAGUGAACUUAAGCCCCAGUAAACGGCGGCCGUAACUAUAACGGUCCUAAGGUAGCGAAAUUCCUUGUCGGGUAAGUUCCGACCCGCACGAAAGGCGUAACGAUUUGGGCACUGUCUCAACAACAGACUCGGUGAAAUUGUAAUUCCGGUGAAGAUGCCGGAUACCUGCGACAGGACGGAAAGACCCCAUGGAGCUUUACUGUAGCUUGACAUUGGGUCUUGGUACUACAUGUACAGGAUAGGUGGGAGGCUUUGAAACCAGGACGCCAGUUUUGGCGGAGCCAUCCUUGGGAUACCACCCUUGUAGUACUGGGACUCUAACCAUAGGCCAUGAAUCUGGUCUUGGGACACUGUCAGGUGGGCAGUUUGACUGGGGCGGUCGCCUCCCAAAAGGUAACGGAGGCGCUCAAAGGUUCUCUCAGUACGGUCGGAAAUCGUACGUAGAGUGUAAAGGCAAAAGAGAGCUUGAUUGCAAGACAUACAGGUCGAGCAAGGAUGAAAAUCGGACUUAGUGAUCCGGUGGUUCUGCGUGGAAGGGCCAUCGCUCAACGGAUAAAAGCUACCCUGGGGAUAACAGGCUUAUCUCCCCCAAGAGUCCACAUCGACGGGGAGGUUUGGCACCUCGAUGUCGGCUCAUCACAUCCUGGGGCUGUAGUAGGUCCCAAGGGUUGGGCUGUUCGCCCAUUAAAGUGGUACGCGAGCUGGGUUCAGAACGUCGUGAGACAGUUCGGUCCCUAUCCGUCGCAGGCGUAGGAAAUUUGAGAAGACCUGUCCUUAGUACGAGAGGACCGGGAUGGACGUACCUCUGGUGUACCAGUUGUCCUGCCAAGGGCAUGGCUGGGUAGCUAUGUACGGAAUGGAUAAGCGCUGAAAGCAUCUAAGCGCGAAGCCAACUUCAAGAUAAGAUUUCCCACCGCAAGGGUAAGACCCCAGAAAGACUAUCUGGUUGAUAGGUCGAAGGUGUAAGU